This 400-nucleotide unclassified non-coding RNA is filed under the name soil metagenome. Its description in RNAcentral is "partial contains 5.8S ribosomal RNA, internal transcribed spacer 2, and large subunit ribosomal RNA". The stretch from base 1 to 121 matches the Rfam family "5.8S ribosomal RNA", at positions 35 to 154 of the family's 154-position model. The record is from RNAcentral.
GAUGAAGAACGUAGCGAAAUGCGAUAAGUAAUGUGAAUUGCAGAAUUCAGUGAAUCAUCGAAUCUUUGAACGCACCUUGCGCCCUUUGGCCAUUCCGAAGGGCAUGCCUGUUUGAGUAUCAUGAACACCUCAACUCUCAUGGCUCGCCAUGAUGAGCUUGGAUUUGGGGGUCUUGCUGGCCUGUGGUCGGCUCCUCUCAAAUGGAUCAGCUUGCCAGUGUUUGGUGGCAUCACAGGUGUGAUAACUAUCUGCGCUUGUGGUUUUCCAUCAGAUAACCUUCAGUGAUGGAGGUUCGCUGGAGCUCAUAAACGUCUCCCCUAAGCGGGGACAGCCCUUUGAAUGUUUGAUCUCAAAUCAGGUAGGACUACCCGCUGAACUUAAGCAUAUCAAUAGCGGAGGA